AUUGAACGCUGGCGGCAUGCUUUACACAUGCAAGUCGAACGGCAGCGCGGGCUUCGGCCUGGCGGCGAGUGGCGAAUGGGUGAGUAAUGCAUCGGAACGUGCCCAGUAGUGGGGGAUAGCCCGGCGAAAGCCGGAUUAAUACCGCAUACGACCUGAGGGUGAAAGCGGGGGACCGAAAGGCCUCGCGCUAUUGGAGCGGCCGAUGUCGGAUUAGCUAGUUGGUGGGGUAAAGGCUUACCAAGGCGACGAUCCGUAGCUGGUCUGAGAGGACGACCAGCCACACUGGGACUGAGACACGGCCCAGACUCCUACGGGAGGCAGCAGUGGGGAAUUUUGGACAAUGGGGGCAACCCUGAUCCAGCCAUGCCGCGUGCGGGAAGAAGGCCUUCGGGUUGUAAACCGCUUUUGUUCGGGAAGAAAUCCUCUGGGCUAAUACCCCGGGGGGAUGACGGUACCGGAAGAAUAAGCACCGGCUAACUACGUG
RNAcentral lists this ribosomal RNA (484 nucleotides) under uncultured bacterium. RNAcentral describes it as "partial 16S ribosomal RNA". It matches the Rfam family "Bacterial small subunit ribosomal RNA", at positions 28 to 507 of the family's 1533-position model. The record is from RNAcentral.